GAAAAAGUUAUUUCUAGUGCUU
Molecule: non-coding RNA, 22 nt
Filed under: Arabidopsis thaliana (thale cress)
Lineage: Eukaryota; Viridiplantae; Streptophyta; Magnoliopsida; Brassicales; Brassicaceae
Source: RNAcentral